Molecule: ribosomal RNA, 301 nt
Filed under: uncultured bacterium
Lineage: Bacteria
Description: partial 16S ribosomal RNA
Rfam family: Bacterial small subunit ribosomal RNA
Source: RNAcentral
CAGUCGCCGCGGUAAUACAGAGGGUGCGAGCGUUAAUCGGAUUUACUGGGCGUAAAGCGUGCGUAGGCGGCUUCUUAAGUCGGAUGUGAAAUCCCUGAGCUUAACUUAGGAAUUGCAUUAGAUACUGGGAAGCUAGAGUAUGGGAGAGGAUGGUAGAAUUCCAGGUGUAGCGGUGAAAUGCGUAGAGAUCUGGAGGAAUACCGAUGGCGAAGGCAGCCAUCUGGCCUAAUACUGACGCUGAGGUACGAAAGCAUGGGGAGCAAACAGGAUUAGAUACCCGAGUAGUCCCUGUCUCUUAUAC